GAUGAAGAACGCAGCAAAAUGCGAUAAGUAAUGUGAAUUGCAGAAUUCAGUGAAUCAUCGAAUCUUUGAACGCACAUUGCGCCCGCCAGUAUUCUGGCGGGCAUGCCUGUUCGAGCGUCAUUUCAACCCUCAAGCACAGCUUGGUGUUGGGACUCGCGUUAAUUCGCGUUCCCCAAAUUGAUUGGCGGUCACGUCGAGCUUCCAUAGCGUAGUAGUAAAACCCUCGUUACUGGUAAUCGUCGCGGCCACGCCGUUAAACCCCAACUUCUGAAUGUUGACCUCGGAUCAGGUAGGACUACCCGCUGAACUUAAGCAUAUCAAUAAGCGGAGGA
Molecule: unclassified non-coding RNA, 332 nt
Filed under: soil metagenome
Description: partial contains 5.8S ribosomal RNA, internal transcribed spacer 2, and large subunit ribosomal RNA
Rfam family: 5.8S ribosomal RNA (bases 1-120)
Source: RNAcentral